AUUUGGCAGCAGGCUGCCACUUAGAAAGCUGCUCCCUACUCCUAAUAAACUGUAACUUCUUGUACACAAGGUUCACUUCAACCCCUGAUGAUCUAUGACCUGCGAUACACUGUCAGAAGAUAUGAAGUCCAAGCCAUACCCUUGAGAAUAUGUAUACAUGGAAAAAGGAAAGCUACACAGAAAGGACCGCACCAUGUCAGGAUGCAGGAGCGAUCUCUUCCCUGCUUGGAGAAAAGGCAUUGAUUUGUUCCUAACACCAGGAGCUGUUCUAAUGAGGAGGUGCUGAUAAGUGAAAUGAAACCACAGAGUGCAAGCACGUGGAGUGCAAACCCGUGAGUCACAUUAAAUACGAACUCAACCUGCACUAAUGUUAAUUGUCAUUCAGUUUAUAUCAACAUGAAGCUUAUUAAACCAUAAAGUGAGGCAUCUAGCACCAAGAGCAGCACUGGAGACAAUUAAGUGUAAUAAGUGUUUUUCUUAAUCCCUCCAAACCCAAGAGAUGCACAAGUUACAGAUGAACAUCCUGUU
RNAcentral lists this long non-coding RNA (528 nucleotides) under Pogona vitticeps (central bearded dragon). Its description in RNAcentral is "lncRNA (ENSPVIG00000015200.1)". The record is from RNAcentral. Lineage: Eukaryota; Metazoa; Chordata; Lepidosauria; Squamata; Agamidae.